UACGGGGGGGGUAAGCGUUGUUCGGAAUUACUGGGCGUAAAGGGCGCGUAGGCGGCUCGGCACGUCCGUUGUGAAAUCGCCCGGCUCAACUGGGCGGGGUCAGCGGAUACGGUCGAGCUUGAGCAAGCUAGGGGGCAAUGGAAUUCCCGGUGUAGUGGUGGAAUGCGUAGAUAUCGGGAGGAACACCAGUGGCGAAGGCGGUUGCCUGGAGCUUUGCUGACGCUGAGGCGCGAAAGCGUGGGGAGCGAUCCGG
RNAcentral lists this ribosomal RNA (253 nucleotides) under uncultured bacterium. RNAcentral describes it as "partial 16S ribosomal RNA". It matches the Rfam family "Bacterial small subunit ribosomal RNA", at positions 524 to 776 of the family's 1533-position model. The record is from RNAcentral.